UUUUGGAAACUUUGGUUUUAGUCCUCCAAAACUAACGCCGUUAAAAAAAAUCUAACGUGACUAACGGUAGUGUGCCAUGUCAUUUUUUUUUACUCUGAUAAGCCAGCUUUUAUCCCUCCUUCUCCCUCUCCCUCUCCCUCUCCCUCUCCCUCCGACUCUACCACAGUGGCCACAACCAUCAACCGCGAAACCUCCAUACACAACCACCCUCCACCAAGCUCACCUCCAUGGCCAACGUAAAACCUCCAUCUCCACUGUCUAAAAAACCCUCCAAAUCGCGUUUCUGAUUUGGGACAUCAAGCUCGAGCGAAAUGGCGAAAUGUCUCCAUCUCCACUUGUCCAAGGAGUCCACGGUGUCGCCUCCCCCGCCACUUCUCGUCGCUCCUCCGUCGUGUGCUCGCCCCUCCGUCGCGUGCUCGCACCUCCUUCGUCUCUUCUUCUGUCGCGUUUCUCUCGCUGCAUCAAAGGCCGCACCACCACAGUUCGUCCACCAUCGGUGCCCCCAUUGUCUCUUGCGAAGUCCUCCAUUGUCUCCGCUGCCACACAAAUUGGGGUUUUCUGUGUAGGUUUCAUGGACGAAGUAUGAGGAGGUUGUUGGAGAUGAAGGAACUCACGAUUUGGCUCACGAUGGUGAUGGGGAAGCAUCACGAUUUGGCUAUGCGAAUUGAGAAAUUUUUGAAUUGAUUUUGUGAUUCUGGUUUGUAGGUUUCUUUGGAUGGAGGUUUUGGCUUUUACUGCAGGUGGUUGGAUGAUUGAUGGAGGCAUUGCAUGAGGAUGAUAAUGAACUGGGUUCUUGGCUAAGUGUUUUUGCAGGUCUGGAAAUUUCUGAUGAUGGAUGAAGAAGAUGGUCUACGGUGGUCUACGGUGGUGUUUUAGGUGGUCUGAUGCGAGAAAGACGAACCUGCAAUGAUAGAUCACGAUGGCGCAUGAUGGUGUUGGCGGCGUGUGGAGUGGAAGAUUAUUCAAACUAAAUGACGGUGCGAUCUCGUGGUGGUCGGCCGGGGAAACCAGGAAGAUCAUACUGCCUCGGAGGGAGAGGGAAGGAGAGAAGCUGGGUGACCAGCGUAAAAAAAAUUACAUGGCACACUACCGUUAGCCACGUCAGAUUUUUUUUAACACCGUUAAUUUUGGAGGACUAAAAUCAAAGUUUCCAAAAGAUUGAGGACUAAAUUGUACCUUAUUUUCAAAAGACUAAAACCAAAAACAAUA
This is an RNA transcript of Vigna radiata var. radiata (mung bean), 1209 nucleotides long. RefSeq lists it as uncharacterized. NCBI's taxonomy places the organism in Eukaryota, Viridiplantae, Streptophyta, Magnoliopsida, Fabales, Fabaceae. The record is from RefSeq and is a predicted model, not a curated record. The transcript has 2 exons.